This 454-nucleotide ribosomal RNA is filed under the name uncultured bacterium. Its description in RNAcentral is "partial 16S ribosomal RNA". It matches the Rfam family "Bacterial small subunit ribosomal RNA", at positions 355 to 802 of the family's 1533-position model. The record is from RNAcentral.
UGGGGAAUUUUGGACAAUGGGGGAACCCUGAUCCAGCCAUCCCGCGUGUGCGAUGAAGGCCUUCGGGUUGUAAAGCACUUUUGGCAGGAAAGAAACGUCGCGGGUUAAUACCCCGCGAAACUGACGGUACCUGCAGAAUAAGCACCGGCUAACUACGUGCCAGCAGCCGCGGUAAUACGUAGGGUGCAAGCGUUAAUCGGAAUUACUGGGGCGUAAAGCGUGCGCAGGCGGUUCGGAAAGAAAGAUGUGAAUCCCAGAGCUUAACUUUGGAACUGCAUUUUUAACUACCGGGCUAGGAGUGUGUCAGAGGGAGGUGGAAUUCCGCGUGUAGCAGUGAAAUGCGUAGAUAUGCGGAGGAACACCGAUGGCGAAGGCAGCCUCCUGGGAUACACUGACGCUCAUGCACGAAAGCGUGGGGAGCAACAGGAUUAGAUACCCGUGGUAGUCCACGCCC